This 75-nucleotide transfer RNA is filed under the name Ferrovibrio sp. RNAcentral's name for it is "tRNA-Val". It matches the Rfam family "tRNA". Rfam says of the family: Transfer RNA (tRNA) molecules are approximately 80 nucleotides in length. Their secondary structure includes four short double-helical elements and three loops (D, anti-codon, and T loops). RNAcentral also lists the same sequence under 1 other name. Lineage: Bacteria; Pseudomonadati; Pseudomonadota; Alphaproteobacteria; Rhodospirillales; Rhodospirillaceae. The record is from RNAcentral.
GGGCGGUUAGCUCAGCGGUAGAGCACAGCAUUCACAUUGCUGGGGUCGCAGGUUCAAUCCCUGCACCGCCCACCA